Felis catus (domestic cat) is the source of this 2952-nucleotide long non-coding RNA. RefSeq lists it as uncharacterized. The record is from RefSeq and is a predicted model, not a curated record. The transcript has 3 exons. NCBI's taxonomy places the organism in Eukaryota, Metazoa, Chordata, Mammalia, Carnivora, Felidae.
CCCGAGCUCUAAUCACACAACAGUUUCGUAACCAUGUUCUCUCAGAAAGUUCCAUAGUCCACCCCUCUGGAACAAAAUGAAAUGAUUUCCAGAAAGGGGCUGAAAUGCUUGAAGAAAGAAAAACAUCAGGCAAUGCAUCCUUCUUUGAUCCAAUUAGUUCCAUCCCAUUCCACAGACGCUUACUGAAUCUAAGACGUGUCAGGUCCUUUGCGAGUUUCUGGGGAUAAAUAAGAGCCAGUCCAUGCGGUGACCACAGCCGAUGACCACAAUGCUGUAUGCUAGGAACGAUAAUGGAGGUAUCUGACCACUGAUACGACAACUGAGAUUUGUUAUGGCAGGAAAACCAUCAUUUCCAGAACCACUUGGCGGGAACUGAGGUAAAAACAAACAAACAAACAAAAACCUUUUCCAUUUGGACAGGCUUGUCUUUAGCCUGUUUUUCAGAAGUCAAGACACUUGGCAACUUCAGACUUCUGAAGUGACUGAAAUUGGAAAUGCUCAGGACAAAACUGCCCAGCCUGCUCUCAGAGGGGGACAAGCAGGCAGCCGCUGGGCACUCUCGACUCCCUGAGCAGAUACGAGAGCGCUGUGGCUGCAACAGGUCCCACGGAGCGCUGUGGUUGAUGGUGAACUCGAGCAAAGAACAGAACUAGUAUCUGUUCCUGUGUUAGUUUGGAGGCCAAGAAACAAUAAAGAUUUGGCAAGGAACUGGUCAAGAAAAAAAAAAAUUAUAACUCCUUGGAGAUCCUAAGAGGUAAAUGGUUGUUGCUUUAGUCCUCACAGGAACUUAAAGGUGGUCAGAGAAGCAGUAAAUAGAUGGUCCUCUGACCACAGAGAAGAGGACAAUGUUCCAUGAACACAGCUGCCUUAUGCUCUCAGGGGACCAGCAGCUACCUGUGCCGAAGUCCAGACACAGCAGCCUUUGGACGGAAGUAAUGGGGGAAUGUGUGUGUGUGUGUGUGGGUGUGUGUGUGUGUGCGCGCGCGCCCACGUGCGUGUGUGUGUGUGUGUGCGCGCGCGCCCAUGUGCGUGUGUGUGUGUGUGUGUGUGUGUGGUAUACGAAAGAUUUCAUUUUCAUUUUAUAACAAUAAGCCAAAUGCCAAAAAUGCACGCUACCAUCAAUGACUUUUUUUUAAUAUGUCAGUUUUAGGGACAUUUUAAGGCGAUAUAUUCCACACCAUCUUCAUAACCAUUGAUAUCAACUCAUAAAUGAACUCAUCACCAUUUGCUUAAUCUUUGCUUCUGGUGGGAUAUUCCUAUUCCCAUCUCUCAAAUGGCUACAUGGUAACUUGGGCCAGAAAUCCAGGAGUCAUUCUAGAUCCUUCUCUCAAGUGUACUUUGACUGUGACCUCCAGAAUAUUUAACUUCCUUUCCCCCUCUCUCUCUCUCUUUAUUUAUAUACCACUUCCUGUAAAAAAUUGAUAGUAUGUUUCCCCCAUUGGAAUGUAAGCUCACUGAGGAAAAGCCUAAUUCCCAUUUUUGUUCUUCUAAUGCUUAACGCAUUGCCUUCAACACAAAGCAAUAGAUGCCAUAAACACUCAAACAGUUUCACAUUAUGUUUUUUAUGAAGGUCAAGGAUUUAAAAUGUCAAUACUCAGGGGUGCCUGCGUGGCUCAGCUGGUUGAGUGUCUGACUUUUGAUGUGGGCUUAGGUUAUGAUCCCAGGGUUGUGGGGUCAAGACCCAUGUUGGAUUCUGCUUGAGAUUCUCUCUUUCCCUCUGCCCCUCUCCCACUUACGCGCUGUCUCUCUAAAACAAAACAAAACAAAAAACUAAAAUUUCAUAAAAUGUCAAUACUCAAAAGUUGACAAAACUGGCCUUCUAUAUAUGAAGGUUUGUUCCCUAGUGGCUGUCCAGAGUCAAGUUCUACAGGACUCCUUCUCUGCUAUCCCAGCAGGCUUCGUUCACUGGCCGGUGAUCCCUCACAAUGUGGUCCCAACCCACGGAAGGUGCCCUCCCAAACUGGGAUGUGUUCAGAGUAUCCACAUUCUCAUGUACAUUCAGUCCAAUAAUUACUCAGCACUGCACAUUAGAGGGUCAAAUUAAUCAAUAACUCUUCAAAUUAGUGCAAAGAAAAUCGUUCCCAGAUGUAUACACCAAAUGUCACUGUGUUUCAUGUAAGUAAACCACAAUCCUUCUGCUCAAUAAUCUUCUAUCUUAAAUAUAGAUAAGGCUGACACACCUAGAGAUAGAUAAAACUGUGGAUAAACAAAACGAGUUCUUCUGACUUCAUUCCAAAGGAAACAUCUUAAACUAAAUUAAGAAACGCCUAACUUUCCUCCUCAGAGCUUUGUUUUUUUGUUUCACUGUUGUUUAUGUGAUUAUUGUCAUGGAAGGCAGAGAGUCAUUCAUUUUGACUUUGGCUUUUAAUUAAUCCUAUUCUUCUCUCACAGUUCUUUUUCUUCAAUUAUUGUCAUGGUAGGAGGAGAUUUGGGGAAAUUUCUCAGUGCAAAUGAUGCUGUGGUAAUUUUCCAUCUAAUUUUGACUUAAAAAAAACACUUAUGUUAUCACUUGGAACCAUCCCAUAUUUUAGUUGUCUUUGUUUCAUUGUUCACAUGUUCCCCUUGAAACCAACUUAUUUUGAGAAAAUGAAAGCACUAAAUUUCAUUCUGGAAUCCCUUUACUGUUAUUUGGUUUGGGUAGUUGUUAUUCGUUUGUGAGUUUCUUGAGCCAAAUUUCAUGUGUUUGGGCUUCCUGAACCAUGCAAGCGCCUUCUUUCUCAUGCUAUGUGAAGGUUUGGAUGCCAGGUUUCUGUAGGGUGAAUUGCAUAUAACGGCAGGGUAUUUGCUUGAUUGUUUAAGAUUGAUUAACUUCCGAUUAGUCACUUAGACUAGAAGCAGCUUCUCAGGACUGUGACAAAAUAAUGUUUUCAUCCUUUCCUAAUGAGUUCAAUGUGGUUAUUUUCCGUUCUGAUGGAGUGAAAUGUUUCUUUAAUAAAAUCAAUUUGCACCAUG